GUCAUUAUUACAAUGAAGGGAAGAAAGGAAGACAUGAAGGGGAAAUGGGACUAUUUACCAAGUGUAUCUGCAUAGACUAAAGGAGACAAGAGGAAGUACUGAGCACCUUGAUUCCUGCAGAAAAUUAAUUAUUUGAGAAGCAUAAGAAUUCUUCCCUAGCUUCUUAUAAGCCUGCUUAUUCAAAGGAUUCAAACAUUUUAACCACAAAGAACAAAACAACCUCAACUGAGAGCAGGCUUGAUUUAGGUUAACUGCAGUGAAUGAAACUAUUGGAUUAUAAUUCCAUGAAGAUAAGAAAAAGCUCCAGAUGGUUUUCAUCCUAUCACCAGGACCUGCACAGUGAAGAACUAGAUAUACUUGCAAAAUUCAAAGAGGAAACCAAACCAAUACAGCCAAGUUCUAUUUGCGGGUCCAGUAGAUCUUCCAAAGAAACGGCAGAAUUGUGAUAGGUAGGUACUUUUAAAACUGGAAAGAGCUG
RNAcentral lists this long non-coding RNA (478 nucleotides) under Macaca mulatta (Rhesus monkey). RNAcentral describes it as "lncRNA (ENSMMUG00000049533.1)". The record is from RNAcentral. Lineage: Eukaryota; Metazoa; Chordata; Mammalia; Primates; Cercopithecidae.